This 831-nucleotide ribosomal RNA is filed under the name uncultured Rhodothermus sp. RNAcentral's name for it is "bacterial SSU rRNA". It matches the Rfam family "Bacterial small subunit ribosomal RNA", at positions 8 to 837 of the family's 1533-position model. The record is from RNAcentral. Lineage: Bacteria; Pseudomonadati; Rhodothermota; Rhodothermia; Rhodothermales; Rhodothermaceae.
AGAGUUUGAUCCUGGCUCAGGACGAACGCUGGCGGCGGGCUUAACACAUGCAAGUCGAACGAGAAUCCCGGGUUCGCCUGGGAGGAAAGUGGCGCACGGGUGAGUAACACGUAGGCAACCUGCCCUCGAGUGGGGAAUAACACCGGGAAACCGGUGCUAAUACCGCAUAUUGUCUCUGGUACGCAUGUACCGGUGAUGAAAGUCUUCGGACGUUCGGGGAUGGGCCUGCGGUGGAUUAGGUAGUUGGUAGGGUAACGGCCUACCAAGCCUGCGAUCCAUAGCUGGUCUGAGAGGAUGAUCAGCCACACUGGCACUGAGACACGGGCCAGACUCCUACGGGAGGCAGCAGUGAGGAAUAUUGCGCAAUGGGCGAAAGCCUGACGCAGCCACGCCGCGUGGAGGAUGACACCCCUCUGGGGCGUAAACUCCUUUUAUGUGAGAAGAAAACCUCGUUCCGCGAGGAUUGACGGUAUCAUAUGAAUAAGCACCGGCUAACUCCGUGCCAGCAGCCGCGGUAAUACGGAGGGUGCAAGCGUUGUCCGGAUUCACUGGGUGUAAAGGGUGUGUAGGUGGAAUGGCAAGUCAGAGGUGAAAGCCUACAGCUUAACUGUAGAACUGCCUUUGAUACUGCCGUUCUUGAGUACUGGAGAAGUCACUGGAAUUCGUGGUGUAGCGGUGAAAUGCGUAGAUAUCACGAGGAACACCUGAGGCGUAGGCGGGUGACUAAACAGAUACUGACGCUGAGGCACGAAAGCGUGGGGAGCAAACAGGAUUAGAUACCCUGGUAGUCCACGCUGUAAACGAUGGAUGCUCGAUGCUGCUGCGUAUGCG